Molecule: long non-coding RNA, 816 nt
Organism: Malaclemys terrapin pileata
Lineage: Eukaryota; Metazoa; Chordata; Testudines; Emydidae
Exons: 3
Source: RefSeq, a predicted model, not a curated record
AAAACCCAGCUCGCUCCACUGAGCCAGGCGGCGUCUCCCAGGGCCCAGAGUCCGAGGCCAGCUCCUGGAGUCCACCCAGUCAGCAGGCAGGAUCCACUCAGACACGCUUUCCACCUUGUCAUGAAGAGCUGUCAAAGAAGUGGGGUGCUACUGUCGCUCAGAAUAUGUCCCUGUCAGCAGUUAAGAGCAAGUCACCAUUCUGGAAGCCACUGUGCUGUUUGACCCCGAGCACAAAGGUGUGGCCUCUACUGAGAACAAUAAAGAAAUUGUCUGAGUUAAAGAGAAAUGGUCUGAGGAAGAAAGGGCUAACCUGGCAGGAAAAGUCCAUGCGUACAUGGCAAUGGCUUCUCCAGACAACAGCGGCAUCACCCCCUCUGGCUCGUGGAAAUCCGCCGCACUGAGCUGUGCUGCUCGUCACAUCCUCAGCGUCCCAGCCGGCGUGGAGAGAAUAUUUCCUAAAUUCAGCGUCAGCCAAGACGGCUGGAGAACAAGCCUUGGAAGAACUGCUGUGAGCCUGUUAGCCGGACUUUCGGAAUGUACCGUGAAGCCCCUCAUACGAAGCGGAAGUCACCCACGGUCAACCGUUUAUUACAAAGAAAAGAGUCAUUGUUCACGGGGAUUAGAGAGAAUCGAUUCACAAACCCAGAGGUUGGGCACAGUGUUCUGAGUUCAAUUAACGUUUUACGUAAAAUUCUGUUUGUUACAGGAUCUGGGGCUCCACUAGGUGUGGGGACCAUCUAGUGGUUCUACCUAUUAUGUAGCUAAAUAUGGUUCAUGAAAUAAACCACAGCAUCCCACUGUUUUUACUUUCUCUUA